GAAAUUUCCACCAGUCUCUAAUUUUUCAAAAUUUAAAGUAAUAAAAAUCACAAUAUCAUUCUUUCCUAACCUAUGAAUUUAAUCAUCAAUACAGUUUGAAGAUGUUCAUUCUACCAUUAAUGCUCUACCCCAUGCCAAGCACUGUUGAGGCCUGAAGAAUACACAGGUCAACACAACGGGCAUCUGCCUUUGGAACUUCUACUCUGUGGAAAAGAGACAACUGAACAGAUUAAAAAAAUAAGUAUAUCAUACAAUAACAUAACGUGGUCAUUUCAAUGGAGGAAAAAAAAUAUAGAUAGUGAGAAGGUAAUGACAGGUGCUCAGCAAAGUCCUGUUACAAACAAGGACAUAUGAAGAGUUUCUCUGAAGAGGUCACAGAGCCAGUGUAAAGGGUUUUGAGGACAUCUAGGAAAGUUAGGCAUAAGGAUGACAGUUCUGCCCAUUUUUGUUUUUCUAACCUAAUUAUGUACACAUCUAUUUUUUUUAACCCAUUGGCUUCUUCCAGUUCCUACUCCCAGAUCUAUUUGUGAUGUAAGUUAAUUUUUGCUUAUUAAAGAAUUGAAAAUUUUUAAAUUUUAUUUUCAAAGCUGGGAAAAAAAGGCACAAGUUGACCAGAUAUUUGAAAAUUAACUUAACUCAAAAAUGUAAUUUAACUCAUGCAAGGGAUAUGUAUACAGGGACUUUGGGAUAUUUAAGUA
RNAcentral lists this long non-coding RNA (698 nucleotides) under Marmota monax (woodchuck). The record is from RNAcentral. Lineage: Eukaryota; Metazoa; Chordata; Mammalia; Rodentia; Sciuridae.